This 2446-nucleotide long non-coding RNA is filed under the name Lupinus angustifolius (narrow-leaved blue lupine). Its description in RNAcentral is "long non-coding RNA (LANG_LNC001795)". Lineage: Eukaryota; Viridiplantae; Streptophyta; Magnoliopsida; Fabales; Fabaceae. The record is from RNAcentral.
ACAAAUCGAGAAAUGGUCCAAAUUUUUUUUGUCAUUUUUUCCUUAGUAGUUACUGUUCAUGUUCUUCGACAAGGGUAUUCAGUUUCAAGUGUAUGUGAAAACUUUGUUCCAUUUCUAGUUUAUGUUUGUGAAAGCUUAUUUGAUUUAGGAAUAUUUGUUGUCUUGGAUUUCGUCCUAAUUUUGUUUAGGGUUUAGGGUUCUGUAAGUGUUUCCGUGUAUGAUUUUAUACUUCCUAAUAACUUCAAUUAGUAACCGUUUUGAACCUCAGAAUGGUUAUAAUGGCUGUGAAUUUCUACUGGAAUUCAUCGCGUCCAAGUGUCCAACCAUUUCCGAGUAGCUAAUGAGGCUAGGCAAUGUAUCUUAUGUCAUAAUUCUUUAUAAGAUCUGUUACAUGAAUAACACAGUCAUAUGCAUGUAUCUUAAUUUCUCUAUUGAAGAACAAACACAAGGCUUCCACUUAGUGGGGUUUGCAUCCAUCAAUGACUUUGCUCGAUGUGCAAGUAUUGCAACCAGGAAUGGUAAAGCAAGAGCCGACACCAUGGCAAAGUGUCAUUACAAAUGUACUAAUGAACAAAGACAACAAUAUUCUUGAUAAGUAGACCCUUUGUAGUUUAGAUUCUCCUUGAAUCAAUUCUCACAAUCCCUGUAGGUUUUCUGUAUUUAUAUAUCUUUCUAUCUAUGCAUUGCCCAACUAUGAGGUUACGGGUUCAAAUCUUGGAAACAGUUGAUAAGGUUGUGUACAUCUAAUCUCCCGAGAUCCUACUUGGAAGCCUCAUGCAAUGGGGCUGCCCUUUUAAUGCAUUGUCCAACCAACCAUGGCAUGUUCCAACUGCAGUGAUAUUAAAAUAUCAGUUUUUUGAAUUAUAACUAGUCUAUAAUGACUUCUAUGUGCUGCUGCAGAAGAACAUUGACGCAGCUCAUCAUUUUGGACUAGUUGAAUGAAGGAUGUCUCCCAUGAAUUGGAUAAAACCUAAUGUUGAUGGCAGUUCUGUGGAAUCAUCUCACUGAAUUGGCUUUGGGGGAGCUCUUUGGAAUGCAGCAGGUUCCUGGAUUUAUGGUUUUUCAGGUUUCGCAGGCCAAGGUGAGAUUUUUUUGGUAGAGUUAUUGGCUAUUAGAAGAGGUUUCAAAAGAGUUAUUUGUGAAUCUGAUUAGUUUGAAGCAGUAUGCUUAGUUAAUAAUCUCCCUGCUUUCCUUUUCUUCCAUUUGUAUGUAGCUAUGAUGCAUAAUGUCAAGCUCUUAAUAGCUAGGAGGAUUGGGAGGUUUAAAUUAAGAAUAUUGUGAGGGAAGCAAAUUUCAGAGCACUUGAAUAGGGUAAGUUUGGUGCAACUGUAAAAUUGUUAUUUAGUGACCAUGAGGUCAUAGUUCAAAUCCUAGAAACAGACUAUCCGCUUAUGAGGUAAAGCUGCAUACAUCUACCCUCCUCAGACCUUACUUAGUGAGAGCCUCGUGCAUUGACUCACUCUUUGAAGAGUACAUCAAACUAAACAAGUAAAAGACCACAACUAAAACCAACUGCAACCAGGUUAUGCAAAAAAAGAAGAAAAGGCUUAAACUACAGCUAAGAAAAUUGUUAAAAGUAAUGCCAACUACAAGUAAGAAUGAUAAGAACAAACACAUGAAGACAAAUGUUAUCUAAAUAGCUUGGCAUAUUAUACAGAUAAACUUUGUCAAGCCUAAACUCCAAUAAAAAAAGGUUCACUACAAGAGUGAGACUUUGCAAGCCAUGUAGAAGUUUUUCCAAGUUGCAUUUCCAUAUCUACUUCUACAUAAGUCUACUCUCACUUGUGUUGUAUCUUGUAAAAACUAAACCAGGAAGGAUUUCUAUCCAUGUUUGACAUUUCUGAGAGUGAAAGUGUAGUUUUUUAUUUUACUUUAACCACAGUGCCUAAAAAACUUAGAGUUCUAUAUGCCCUUUGAUGACAUUUGGCUGCAAAUAAGUCUUAAGCUUAUAGAGCAAAUAGCUGUAACCUGCUGUCUCAUUUUCUUUGGAUCCUGAAACAAGGACUCCCACACUUUGUUUUGUUUUAGCAUUGUGUUUCUUGUUCAAAAGAACAAAUCUCAUUUAUUCUAGUAAUGGUUUUUAGUUGCAUUGUUUUUCGGAAAUAAAUAUUUUGUCAAUUAAUAUAAUUUGUAAUAUACGGACAUUGUCGGAUCCAUGUAAUGUAACCAAUGUUUAGGAUCAGUUCAAUCCAGUUCUUAGAGACUUGCUAGAUAGUGGAAAGCCUAAGAAACACAGCUGUAUCCAGGGAUUCCCAUCUUAUGUUUGCUGCAAUAAUGUAUAUGGCCUAACCUUUCAAACUAUGUUUGUUCAUGUUCAAUGCACCCUGAUCUGUCAUAGCAAAAAUGUUAUGAAUACUCAUGUUCAAUGCUGUGAAUGUUGUGGUUGUAUUCAUGGAAAAGAGGAGCAUUUUUAAGAAGCUUUAUUGAUAAUCCUGCUAUGAGUUUC